AGUGGCGGACUGGUGAGUAACGCGUGAGCAACCUGCCUACUAGAGGGGAAUAACAGUGAGAAAUCAUUGCUAAUACCGCAUAUGCCGUGAACAUCACAUGAUGAAAACGGGAAAAGAGAAAUCUGCUAGUAGAUGGGCUCGCGUCUGAUUAGAUAGUCGGUGGGGCAACGGCCUACCAAGUCUACGAUCAGUAGCCGGACUGAGAGGUUGAACGGCCACAUUGGGACUGAGAUACGGCCCAGACUCCUACGGGAGGCAGCAGUCGGGAAUAUUGCACAAUGGAGGAAACUCUGAUGCAGCGACGCCGCGUGAGGGAAGAAGGUUUUCGGAUUGUAAACCUCUGUCUUCAGGGACGAUAAUGACGGUACCUGAGGAGGAAGCUCCGGCUAACUACGUGCCAGCAGCCGCGGUAAUACGUAGGGAGCGAGCGUUGUCCGGAAUUACUGGGUGUAAAGGGAGCGCAGGCGGGAUGGUAAGUUAGGUGUGAAAACUAUGGGCUCAACCCAUAGACUGCACUUAAAACUGCUGUUCUUGAGUGAAGUAGAGGUUGGCGGAAUUCCUAGUGUAGCGGUGAAAUGCGUAGAUAUUAGGAGGAACAUCAGUGGCGAAGGCGGCCAACUGGGCUUUUACUGACGCUGAGGCUCGAAAGCGUGGGGAGCAAACAGGAUUAGAUACCCUGGUAGUCCACGCUGUAAACGAUGAUUACUAGGUGUGGGGGGAUUGACCCCUUCCGUGCCGCAGUUAACACAAUAAGUAAUCCACCUGGGGAGUACGGCCGCAAGGCUGAAACUCAAAGGAAUUGACGGGGGCCCGCACAAGCAGUGGAGUAUGUGGUUUAAUUCGAAGCAACGCGAAAAACCUUACCAGGUCUUGACAUCCUAGGAAUCCCUAAGAGAUUAGGGAGUGCCUUCGGGAACCUAGAGACAGGUGGUGCAUGGUUGUCGUCAGCUCGUGUCGUGAGAUGUUGGGUUAAGUCCCGCAACGAGCGCAACCCUUACCAUUAGUUGCUACGCAAGAGCACUCUAAUGGGACUGCCGUUGACAAAACGGAGGAAGGUGGGGAUGACGUCAAAUCAUCAUGCCCCUUAUGACCUGGGCUACACACGUACUACAAUGGCAAUUAACAGAGGGAAGCAAUACAGAGAUGAGGAGCAAAUCCCUAAAAAUUGUCUCAGUUCGGAUUGUAGGCUGCAACCCGCCUACAUGAAGUCGGAAUAGGUAGUAAUCGCAGAUCAGCAUGCUGCGGUGAA
This 1249-nucleotide ribosomal RNA is filed under the name uncultured bacterium. RNAcentral describes it as "bacterial SSU rRNA". It matches the Rfam family "Bacterial small subunit ribosomal RNA", at positions 94 to 1366 of the family's 1533-position model. The record is from RNAcentral.